ACGGAAGGCAGCAGUGGGGGAUAUUGCACAAUGGGGGAAACCCUGAUGCAGCGACGCCGCGUGAGUGAAGAAGUAUUUCGGUAUGUAAAGCUCUAUCAGCAGGAAAGAUAAUGACGGUACCUGACUAAGAAGCACCGGCUAAAUACGUGCCAGCAGCCGCGGUAAUACGUAUGGUGCAAGCGUUAUCCGGAUUUACUGGGUGUAAAGGGAGCGCAGGCGGUCCUGCAAGCCAGAGGUGAAAACCCGGGGCUCAACCCCGUGAUUGCCUUUGGAACUGUAGGACUUGAGUACUGGAGGGGCAGGCGGAAUUCCUGGUGUAGCGGUGAAAUGCGUAGAUAUCAGGAGGAACACCGGUGGCGAAGGCGGCCUGCUGGACGGCAACUGACGUUGAGGCUCGAAAGCGUGGGGAGCAAACAGGAUUAGAUACCCUGGUA
This 434-nucleotide ribosomal RNA is filed under the name uncultured Lachnospiraceae bacterium. Its description in RNAcentral is "bacterial SSU rRNA". It matches the Rfam family "Bacterial small subunit ribosomal RNA", at positions 341 to 792 of the family's 1533-position model. Lineage: Bacteria; Bacillati; Bacillota; Clostridia; Lachnospirales; Lachnospiraceae. The record is from RNAcentral.